CCGUCAUGCCAAACUAUUUUCAAUAGUGUGUAGAUGCAAAGGGGCAAGCAACGACAUUCUAUUGACUGUGAUAUUUCAUUGAGAACGCUCGGCUUUACGAUGAAUUAAGUGCCAUUUUACAAGCAGUUUUAACCAUUUCGAAUUAAAUGGAAUUUAAGGAGAAUCCAACACGUUAAAUCUUUGCAAUAUAAAACAGUGACACAUGACGAUAAUUGCUACAUUUCCUUUCGUCUUUGAAGACGAUCCAAAAAAAUUCAAAUCUUACAAAAUGGUUGUGCAGUAUAUGCACGGCAUUUUCAUUUCAGUCGGGGGAAAUUUCAAUGUGAAAGAAAAAUAUCACACCUUAUCCGUUAUAAAUGACUGCAAAUUUAUUUGCUACUAAACAUUUGUGAAUGUUAAAGCAAAACGAUGUAUAAUAAGAUUGUUUCUCUCAUAAUACGCGCGAAUGUUUCACGUCACAUCAAAUAAAUAGGAGUCGCGCGCACCAGAUGGUCGUGAUUCUAAGUAUUUAUCAGAUGAAUGGAAAUCGCAUUGCUACGAUUCAGCGCAUGCAUCGAAAAUAAUCGUUUGAUAAAUUGGUGAAUUCAUGAGAAGGCAUUUCAAAUGAUUUUGCAACACCGAAUGAAAAAAAAAUCUCAUGUUUUCGGGAAAAUGUUCGUGUUUUAUGUUCGCGUUUUAUAGGAAAAAAGAAAGUAAUAGAAUUAGUUACCAAAAGUCAAUUUUCGAACAAUUAUAAUAUGA
Sitodiplosis mosellana (orange wheat blossom midge) is the source of this 741-nucleotide long non-coding RNA. RefSeq lists it as uncharacterized. The record is from RefSeq and is a predicted model, not a curated record. The transcript has 5 exons. Lineage: Eukaryota; Metazoa; Arthropoda; Insecta; Diptera; Cecidomyiidae.